Long non-coding RNA from Anolis carolinensis (green anole), 4803 nucleotides. Lineage: Eukaryota; Metazoa; Chordata; Lepidosauria; Squamata; Anolidae. The record is from Ensembl.
AUGCUAAUCAAGGUGAUUAAUUACAACAUUCACGCCUGCUUCAAAGAAAAGUUCUUUCUCCCACUCUGGACCUUCUACAGAUAUAUAAACCCCACAUACCUAGCUUCCAAGUUCCCACAGACCUCACAAUCUCUGAAGGCCCCAAAGGUGGGCUCGUGUGGUGCGAAGGUGGGUCCGCGCCGGCCGGAAGGCCCAACAUGGGCACCGGGAGGCCCAGCGCGGCCACCAGAAGGCCCGAAAGAGAAGGAGGUGGAGAGUGGUGCCCUCCUCCCAGGACGAUGGCGCCCCCGGGACGAUGGCGCCACAGGCAAGUGCCUAUUUCGCCUUAUGGUUGGACCGCCUCUGAGGGCAGAUGAAAUAUUCCAUUUCCAAGCAACCUCUUCCUCCAGUGCCUUGUUUCUUUCAUGACUGUAGUUUCUUCCCUCCUACUGCCAUCUUUGUGUCAUAGUGCACAAACAAGAAACCUAAGUGAUAGAGAAGCAAGAGUUUUAUUUUGAAAGACUGCUUUUUGUUUAGUGGUCCAUGUAAGAAGGUCAUAACAGAGAAUCUUGCUACAGGUUUACAGUGGUCUUUAAUUGUUUCUAUGGUUUUAUGCUGAACUUUCCCUUUUUUUUAACUUCUGUGUACAAUAUCUUUUACAUAACAAUGCCAUUUAACGCAAGCACACUUUUUAGACAUGCAUAAUUUUCCAACACAGUAAUUUAUUUCCUAUACUUACACCCUGCCCUUCUCACCCCCGAAGGGCAACCUCACAACCGGCAGUAAUUCAGUGUCAACAUGCAUUCCAUGACUUUGGCCAAAUAGGAGAGAUUGGAAACUGGCCAAAAGUUGACUUUUUUUUUAACAGCUUCUUUCAAGCUGGCUGGAAUCUUGCCCUUCUGAAAGGAGGCAUUAACAACCAUCAUCUUCACCCACUCUGCCAAGCCCCCCUGGUCUCCUUUACCAGCCAGGAUGGACAGGGGUCUAGGUUGCCCUCGCCUCCCCCAAGGAUCUUGUCCACAUCUUGUCUGCACUUGAAACUAGGUCAGCCGGGAGAGGUGGACAACAACCUUGUGAACAGUAUUUUACCUACGACCGCAGGGAACUGCCAAAAGGCUAAAUGGAGGAUUACACAAAAACAAGUGCUGAGAGCACAAUAACCCCAAAUAAACAGUUCAAGGGAAGAUCUCAGGGUUUUACAUGUCUUUGCACUAAUACACAGAGCAUGAGAAAUAAGACGAAUUCCAACUUGUAGAACAACACAGUUACGAUGUCAUAGGCAUCACUGAAAUCUGGUAGGAUGACUCCCAUCACUGGAAUGUAGCCUUUGAGGGCUACAACCUCUUUCACAUAAACAGAACGAAGGGAAGAGGGAGAGUAGCCUUAUAUGUCGAAAAGGUUACAUUGCAGAUGACAUGCAAGACUGCAAUCCGGGAGACCAACUUGAAAGCCACUGGAUAAGAAUAAAGGGAACCGGGACUCAAAAAGAUUUCAUCAUGGGUGAGGAGGACUGAGGUGACAGGGAUGGAAUCCUUUUCUAUCCUACCGCUGCCACCAAUUGAAGAGAGCCCAAUUUGUGGUACUCAACUCAGGCAGGGGGAAAUCUUUGUCUAAAUCCCACUACUGCCUCCAAUUGAGGAGAUGUGCGCGCGUGUGAGAGGGAGGGAUGGAGGAUGUGUGAAUGUAUGGCAGGGAUGAUUUAGUGGAUAAGGAAGGAUAACGGAACUGAUUGGGUUUAAAUGAGUAAAGAUGGUAACUUAUAUAGGAAAGUACGGUAACUUAUAUAGAGAGGUACGGUAACUGCCACCAACGUGAGGUAACAGGCUUACAGAGAGGCAAGGAGACUUAUCUUUAUGAACAAUAACAAAAUUCAAGUUUAUUUUUGGUACAUAAGCGUAUGGUUUCAAUCAGUAAACGUUCCGGAUCUUAAGUUACAAUGUAGUCUUUCUUGAAUGGAUAUUUCUUAAAUAACUUCUCUUCAACACAGUAUACUAAACUCCCCCGGUCAGCUUAUAUUCCCAGCCUUUCCCCUGAGUGACCAUAAGCUGCCGUCCUUAGCUGAUUUCCACAGCUCCUAAUCUUUCCAAAACCUAACCGCAACUGUCCUUUUUAAACCCUCACAGCAACUGAACUUUUAAAAGGGAAUAUGCUCCAACUGUCAUCUUAGCCACGCCCCUUUUCUCCCAAGGGAAGCUGUGUUACCAUGGCAACCUACCAAAUGCUGCUUCCAGCUAGUUUCCAUGUUAGGCUUUUCCUUGCUAAUAUAUAACCCUUUUUUUUCUUUUAACAAACAAAUAAAUAAAAUCAUAUCAAUAAUCUCUGUUUAACACACAACUUCUCUACAAUGGGCAUCUACUACAGGCAUCCGAGCCAUGAUAAAGAACUCAAUGAAGCCUUCUGUCAGCAGUUGACCAAACAGGCACAAAGAAGAGAUAUACUAGUCAUGGGCGAUUUCAACUAUCCUGUUAUCUGCUGGAAAACAAACAAGAGUACAAAGUCCAACAAAUUCCUCACUUGUAUUGCAGACAGUUUUGUGGUCCAGAAGGUAGAGGAGGCAACAAGGGUAUCGGGCACUCUUGAUCUCAACAAACGCAGAGGACCUGAUAGAUGCAGUCGAAGUGGUUGGAGCCUUAGGGGCAAGUGACCAUGUGCUCCUGCAGUUUGCCAUACAAAGGAAGGUUGAAACUAAGACAAGUCAAACUCAUAUUCUGGAUUUUAGGAGAGCUGACUUCCAAAAAAUGAGUGGCAUUCCAUGCAUACCAAUGCUAAAAGACAAGGAAGUUAAGGAUGGAUGGGAGUUUUUGAAAAGUGAAAUACUCAAGGCACAAAUGCAAACAGUGCCAACAAAGAAAAAAAAGUUAUGUGCAAAGAAGUCGGAAUGGAUGUUCAAAGAACUUCUAACUGGGCUAAGACUCAAAAGAGACAUGCACAAAAAGUGGAAAAGGGAGAAAAUCUUAUCUUUUGUAACAUUAAAAUAUAAAUCCAUUACAAUGCUCCGUAGUCAAAUCAAUUAUACAUAACUCAAUUAUUGUAAACAAAGCACACACAACGAAGAUUUAGUUUAAUCAACAUGGGCAUCCAUAUAAUGGAAAAUAGUAAAUUGUCACUUUUAAUUAACUUCACAUAAAUAACUGGAAGAGUGUUCUUUUACUAUGCAGUCUGAAGUGUCUAGAGUUAAUAUAAAGCAGACUGUGGUUGUGUGGCAUGAUUCUGUUUUCUAAUUUUGAGAUGAAAUUCUUCCUCAAAACAGACAGAUGUUUCAAACUGGUUCGAUGAGCUAAUGGGGAAAAUGUUGCCUCAGUGUUAGGUGUGGUUCAGUAUUGGUUUGGAUGCUGAAAAAAUAUCCCUGGUUCAAACGAACAUUCAUCUUAAAAUGCACUCUGGGUGGCCUUCAUCCAAUUACUAAGCCUCAUCUACUUCACAGGAUUCUUGUGAAGUUAAAAUGCUAUCCUGUGUUGCAUGGAGAAUGCUGAAUAUUUUAAUUGAACUUGUAUAUGCAACUCAUUUUUGUUUUCUAUAAUCCUGUCCUGUGGGUGGCAUCUAUCAUACUAGAUAUUAGUGGAAAGAGUAAAUUUCAUUAUAGAAAUUGAAUUUUUCACUAAUUCUAAAAUGUACUUAUGCUGAGUUGCUUUAAGAAAUAAAAAACAGCUACGGUGUAUAGAGCUGACAUUUGGGACAAAAAUAAUUCGCCCCAAUUUAACCAGGGCAGGAUCAAUCCUGGUUAGUACUUGGAUGGGAGACAGCCAAUGAAUACCAGGUGCUGAAGGCUGUAUUUCUGAAGUAGAAACUCUUCCUCGCCUAAUGAAACCUGCAUGAAAUUCAUGGGGCUGCCGCAAGUCAACAGCCAACCUGAAGGUGCAUGCACUCUUGAGAACCAAGUCAUUUCCAGUUUUUUUUAAGACAGGUUCAUUGGUCUAUACAACUUUAACAAUCCCGUUUCCCAGCCUCAUAUGUAUUAUUUCUAUGUCAGCUUUUGGGGUUUUCCAAUUACAACAUACUCCCAAAACUGAAAUGCCAAUUUUACCCAGGACUAGAUUUACAUGAAAAGGUACAAAGUAGUAUAUGACCUCAUUGAGAUUUAAAACCACAGUGUUGUCCAUCUCACAUUGCUUCAUAUUCAUAAAGUGUGUAACGCCUUAACAGAUGUUGCCAAUGAUUAAGAAUGAUACUGUAAAAUAUUAUUAUUAUUAUAUUAUUAAUAUAAUAAUAUUAUUGUGUUUGUUUACAAUUUACACUCCAUGCACUCACAUCAUAGAAUCUAAUCGAUGGAAGAGAUCAAAGGGCCAUUCAGUCCACACUCCUGCCAAGAACAUACCAUCAAAGCACUCCAAACAGAUGGCCACCCAGCCUCUGUUCCAAAACCUCCAAAGACAUUCCACCAUACUCCAGGGCAGCAUAUUCCUUUGUUGAAUAGCUCUUACCUUCAGAAAUAGUCUCCUUAAUGUUUAGGUAGAAUACUUUUCUGUAGUUUUGUGUCAGUGCCCUGUGUCUGUAGUACCAAAAAAUAAGCUUGCCCCCUCUUCAAUAUGACAUUCUUUCAAACAUUUAAAUAUGGCUAUCAAAACUCCUCUUAACCUUAUCUCCUCCAAGCUAAACAUAGCCAGCUCGCUAAGCCUCUUGCUCCCCAUAGGGCUUGGCUUCCAAUAUCCUUCUUGAAUUCUGGUGCCCAAAACUAGACACAGUAUUUAUUGCUGUAACUGACAAUUCACUUCACUUUAUUUCUUAAUUAGUUGCUUUCCACCAGAGUGCUCCGAGCAACUUACAAUUUAAAAUAUCAUUCCACAAUAUAAAAACAUUCAACAUAAAAACAUUCAACAGUGACUA